Podarcis lilfordi (Lilford's wall lizard) is the source of this 69-nucleotide non-coding RNA. The record is from the annotation of a GenBank genome assembly. NCBI's taxonomy places the organism in Eukaryota, Metazoa, Chordata, Lepidosauria, Squamata, Lacertidae.
GCCGUGGCUCAGUGGCAGAGCUCCAGCAUUGCAUGCAGAAGGCCCUGGAUUCAAUCCUCGCCAUCUCCA